RNAcentral lists this ribosomal RNA (226 nucleotides) under uncultured bacterium. Its description in RNAcentral is "partial 16S ribosomal RNA". It matches the Rfam family "Bacterial small subunit ribosomal RNA", at positions 124 to 334 of the family's 1533-position model. The record is from RNAcentral.
CCUAGCCCUUCAGAGGGGGACAACAGUUGGAAACGACUGCUAAUACCGCAUACGAUCCAAUCUCGGCAUCGAGACUGGAUGAAAGGUGGCCUCUAUUUAUAAGCUAUCACCGAAGGAGGGGAUUGCGUCUGAUUAGCUAGUUGGAGGGGUAACGGCCCACCAAGGCGAUGAUCAGUAGCCGGUCUGAGAGGAUGAACGGCCACAUUGGGACUGAGACACGGCCCAG